This 439-nucleotide ribosomal RNA is filed under the name uncultured bacterium. RNAcentral's name for it is "bacterial SSU rRNA". It matches the Rfam family "Bacterial small subunit ribosomal RNA", at positions 32 to 449 of the family's 1533-position model. The record is from RNAcentral.
AAUCAACGCUGGCGGCGUGCCUCAGACAUGCAAGUCGAACGCGAAAGUUCCCUUCGGGGGGCGAGUAGAGUGGCGCACGGGUGAGUAACACGUAGGUAAUCUACCUUUGGGUGGGGAAUAACAGCCGGAAACGGCUGCUAAUACCGCAUAAUGCAGCGGCUCGACAUCGAGACAGUUGUUAAAGCGGGGGAUCGCAAGACCUCGCGCCUAAAGAGGAGCCUGCGGCGGAUUAGCUUGUUGGUGAGGUAAUGGCUCACCAAGGCAUCGAUCCGUAGCCGGCCUGAGAGGGCGGUCGGGCCACACUGACACUGACAUACGGGUCAGACUCCUACGGGAGGCAGCAGUCGGGAAUUUUGGGCGAAUGGGCGCAAGCCUGACCCAGCAACGCCGCGUGAAGGAUGAAAUCCUCGGGAUGUAAACUUCGCAAGAACAGGAAGAA